Long non-coding RNA from Eurytemora carolleeae, 883 nucleotides. RefSeq lists it as uncharacterized. The transcript is spliced from 2 exons. Lineage: Eukaryota; Metazoa; Arthropoda; Copepoda; Calanoida; Temoridae. The record is from RefSeq and is a predicted model, not a curated record.
GUAUCCAGUAUGCAGUACUCAGUUACUCAGUACUAAGUAUGCAGUGAUUAGUACUCUGCACUCUGCAGUACUUAGUUCUCAGUACUCAGUAUCCAGUAUGCAGUACGUAGUACUCAGUACUCAUGGAUUUCAAUACUCAGUACGCAGUGCUCAGUGCUCAGUAAUCAUUAUUCAGUACGCAGUACGCAUUACUCGUGCAAGAACUCAGCAAUUUAUACUCUCAGUAAACAAUGUUUAGCAUUCGGUGCUCAAUGGAUUAGAUUAUGAGACAGCACAGAUAUUUAAUGUUUUCAUAAAAAAUUUAAUUUAAUAUUUUGACAAGAUGAUCCUGCAAAUGAGAGCUGUCUUGCAGUUUUCAUCCUCAAGUCUGAAAUAUGUCGAUGCUUCACUUAGCUAUAGCUUUGCUUGGUUUAGUUCUACAAAGGCCAAGGCGCUGCGACAGUAUAAAGUCGACCCAGUCUUGAAAACUGAUGCAAAUUGAACAUUUGUGAUGUUUAUCCCUUGUUCCGUGCUGAAAGGAAAAUGUUUCGUUUAACUGUUUAUGUUAAGCGUUUCAUUACAAAAAUAUACAAAAGUUUCCUCUCCGUUCAUACAAGCAGUUUGGAUAGUUACAGGGUAAAAGUAGACAAAACAGAAAUAGCUGAAAAAGGAUUGGAGAUGAAAUUGUCAGUUUUAAACUUUGCAAUAUUGAAAACGACGAUAUCUUCCACAUUAUUUAUCAGAUAAAGGUUUAAAUGUCCCUUUUUAAUGAUGAAAUUACGUCUACAGUCCAGGAGGUGAAAAUCUUUUCCGAAGAGGAGAUAAAAUGUCAAAUAAAUUGAACUUGAAGUUCAAGUUCAAACUAUAUCUGUAAAUAUGAAAUAAAUAAAUAUAAUCUAUUGAA